This 1328-nucleotide ribosomal RNA is filed under the name Bacillus cereus. RNAcentral describes it as "partial 23S ribosomal RNA". It matches the Rfam family "Bacterial large subunit ribosomal RNA", at positions 1573 to 2911 of the family's 2925-position model. The record is from RNAcentral. Lineage: Bacteria; Bacillati; Bacillota; Bacilli; Caryophanales; Bacillaceae.
GCUCCUUAUGGAGCGAAGUCUUUGAUUCCCCGCUGCCAAGAAAAGCUUCUAGCGAGAUAAAAGGUGCCUGUACCGCAAACCGACACAGGUAGGCGAGGAGAGAAUCCUAAGGUGUGCGAGAGAACUCUGGUUAAGGAACUCGGCAAAAUGACCCCGUAACUUCGGGAGAAGGGGUGCUUUCUUAACGGAAAGCCGCAGUGAAUAGGCCCAAGCGACUGUUUAGCAAAAACACAGCUCUCUGCGAAGCCGUAAGGCGAAGUAUAGGGGGUGACACCUGCCCGGUGCUGGAAGGUUAAGGAGAGGGGUUAGCGUAAGCGAAGCUCUGAACUGAAGCCCCAGUAAACGGCGGCCGUAACUAUAACGGUCCUAAGGUAGCGAAAUUCCUUGUCGGGUAAGUUCCGACCCGCACGAAAGGUGUAACGAUUUGGGCACUGUCUCAACCAGAGACUCGGUGAAAUUAUAGUACCUGUGAAGAUGCAGGUUACCCGCGACAGGACGGAAAGACCCCGUGGAGCUUUACUGUAGCCUGAUAUUGAAUUUUGGUACAGUUUGUACAGGAUAGGCGGGAGCCAUUGAAACCGGAGCGCUAGCUUCGGUGGAGGCGCUGGUGGGAUACCGCCCUGACUGUAUUGAAAUUCUAACCUACGGGUCUUAUCGACCCGGGAGACAGUGUCAGGUGGGCAGUUUGACUGGGGCGGUCGCCUCCUAAAGUGUAACGGAGGCGCCCAAAGGUUCCCUCAGAAUGGUUGGAAAUCAUUCGUAGAGUGCAAAGGCAUAAGGGAGCUUGACUGCGAGACCUACAAGUCGAGCAGGGACGAAAGUCGGGCUUAGUGAUCCGGUGGUUCCGCAUGGAAGGGCCAUCGCUCAACGGAUAAAAGCUACCCCGGGGAUAACAGGCUUAUCUCCCCCAAGAGUCCACAUCGACGGGGAGGUUUGGCACCUCGAUGUCGGCUCAUCGCAUCCUGGGGCUGUAGUCGGUCCCAAGGGUUGGGCUGUUCGCCCAUUAAAGCGGUACGCGAGCUGGGUUCAGAACGUCGUGAGACAGUUCGGUCCCUAUCCGUCGUGGGCGUAGGAAAUUUGAGAGGAGCUGUCCUUAGUACGAGAGGACCGGGAUGGACGCACCGCUGGUGUACCAGUUGUUCUGCCAAGGGCAUAGCUGGGUAGCUAUGUGCGGAAGGGAUAAGUGCUGAAAGCAUCUAAGCAUGAAGCCCCCCUCAAGAUGAGAUUUCCCAUAGCGUAAGCUAGUAAGAUCCCUGAAAGAUGAUCAGGUUGAUAGGUUCGAGGUGGAAGCAUGGUGACAUGUGGAGCUGACGAAUACUAAUAGAUCG